GACGAACGCUGGCGGCGUGCUUAACACAUGCGAGUCGAACGGAAAGGCCCUGCUUUUGUGGGGUGCUCGAGUGGCGAACGGGUGAGUAACACGUGAGUAACCUGCCCUUGACUUUGGGAUAACUUCAGGAAACUGGGGCUAAUACCGGAUAGGAGCUCCUGCUGCAUGGUGGGGGUUGGAAAGUUUCGGCGGUUGGGGAUGGACUCGCGGCUUAUCAGCUUGUUGGUGGGGUAGUGGCUUACCAAGGCUUUGACGGGUAGCCGGCCUGAGAGGGUGACCGGCCACAUUGGGACUGAGAUACGGCCCAGACUCAUACGGGAGGCAGCAGUGGGGAAUAUUGCACAAUGGGCGGAAGCCUGAUGCAGCAACGCCGCGUGCGGGAUGACGGCCUUCGGGUUGUAAACCGCUUUCGCCUGUGACGAAGCGUGAGUGACGGUAAUGGGUAAAGAAGCACCGGCUAACUACGUG
RNAcentral lists this ribosomal RNA (468 nucleotides) under uncultured bacterium. RNAcentral's name for it is "partial 16S ribosomal RNA". It matches the Rfam family "Bacterial small subunit ribosomal RNA", at positions 28 to 507 of the family's 1533-position model. The record is from RNAcentral.